This 477-nucleotide ribosomal RNA is filed under the name Triticum aestivum (bread wheat). RNAcentral's name for it is "partial small subunit ribosomal RNA". The record is from RNAcentral. Lineage: Eukaryota; Viridiplantae; Streptophyta; Magnoliopsida; Poales; Poaceae.
AUGUUUUGGUUUUCUCAUGGAGCAGAUAUGACACGAAGUAAACUUCAUGUUGUUGAAUGCAAUGAUGAAUACAUGGCGGAGGAACAUAUUGAACAUGAGAAUGCCAUGCCUAAAGAUGCUGAUUCAUCUCAUGUUCAACCAUCAUCUUGUAAUAGCGAAGAAGGCUUGACUGAUAGUGAAGAUGAAGAGGACCAGGAUGACAGUGCUGCUAAUGAACAAGAUGAAGAUGGAGAAACAACCAAGCGUGGCAGGACAAGGCUAAAAGAAAUAUGGAAUCUUCCAAAAGGGCAGAGAAUUGUGGUCCAGUGCAAUGAACUAAACCAGCCAAUUGGAACAGAAGCUGGACGUCUUGCGAAUUUUCUUGGCACGGUUGCUAGGAAUGGAAAAUUGUGUAGUUUGAGCUACAAGGACUGGAGAAAACUAAUAGGAGAGAGAGAAAAAAGACCAAUGAACAAAGAAACAAAAGUGAUAUACUAG